This 41-nucleotide transfer RNA is filed under the name Lycostomus sp. UPOL LF0331. RNAcentral's name for it is "partial tRNA-Ser". The record is from RNAcentral. Lineage: Eukaryota; Metazoa; Arthropoda; Insecta; Coleoptera; Lycidae.
UUAAAAAAAAGCUUCUAACUUUUUAAAAAGCAUUAAAUUGU